Molecule: small RNA, 30 nt
Filed under: Bombyx mori (domestic silkworm)
Lineage: Eukaryota; Metazoa; Arthropoda; Insecta; Lepidoptera; Bombycidae
Description: ovarian small RNA-6725
Source: RNAcentral
UCAAAGCUCGAAGGACCAAAUUGGUCACGC